Molecule: ribosomal RNA, 439 nt
Filed under: uncultured bacterium
Lineage: Bacteria
Description: partial 16S ribosomal RNA
Rfam family: Bacterial small subunit ribosomal RNA
Source: RNAcentral
CUACGGGGUGCUCCAGUGGGGAAUAUUGCACAAUGGAGGAAACUCUGAUGCAGCAACGCCGCGUGGAGGAUGACACUUUUCGGAGCGUAAACUCCUUUUAUAUAGGAAGAAGAUGACGGUACUAUAUGAAUAAGCGCCGGCUAACUCCGUGCCAGCAGCCGCGGUAAUACGGAGGGCGCAAGCGUUACUCGGAAUCACUGGGCGUAAAGAGCGUGUAGGCGGAUUAAAAAGUCAGAAGUGAAAUCCUAUAGCUUAACUAUAGAACUGCUUCUGAAACUCUUAAUCUAGAAUAUGGGAGAGGUAGAUGGAAUUUCUGGUGUAGGGGUAAAAUCCGUAGAGAUCAGAAGGAAUACCGAUUGCGAAGGCGAUCUCCUGGAAUAUUACUGACGCUAAGGCGUGAAAGCGUGGGGAGCAAACAGGAUUAGAUACCCCAGUAGUC